RNAcentral lists this long non-coding RNA (3095 nucleotides) under Sorghum bicolor (sorghum). Its description in RNAcentral is "long non-coding RNA (SBIC_LNC005979)". Lineage: Eukaryota; Viridiplantae; Streptophyta; Magnoliopsida; Poales; Poaceae. The record is from RNAcentral.
UUGCCCUCUGUGUGAAACAAAACCCUCGACUAUCCAUAGCUUGACAAGCUGCUCACGUGUGAAAAGAUAAUCUUGUGGGAACAUGCUGCAAUACAAAAAACAGUUCUUGAGGUGUCUUGGCAGGUACGUGAAGCUUAUGCUUAGUGCACUUCUUACUUUGCCUAGGCUAGGGUUGUCCUCCAACUCACAUUUAAACUGAUUAUCCAUUCUUCUCCAUGUUAUCUCGUCUGGUUCUUGUACAGUUAGUACAUUUCCUAUUGCAUUAAUUGCAAGUGGCAAGCCUCCACACUUGCUCACAAUCUGCCUAGAUAAUUCAUUGAGAUGAGAAGGGCACUCCAUGUUGCUAUUCUGAAAAGUCCUUCUACAAAAUAGUUCAAAUGCAUCAUCACUGCUGAGUGGCUUAAGCUUCAUCUUGUACAUUUCUUGAGCCAGUGAAGCAACAUCAUUAUUCCUAGUUGUGAUAAUUAUCCGACUGCCUUUGUGGUCAUCCAUUAAUAGGUCAGACAACUCGUUAAAAGCUCUUGUAUCCCAAACAUCAUCGAGUACAAUCAAGUACCUCUUAUUUGACAACACUCCCCUUAAUGUAUCAUUGAGCUUGUUAUAGUGCAUAGUGCCAAGGUCGGCAGGAAUUUUGCCUUGGUCCUCAUUUAACUCCUGAAUCAACUGCCUCAAUGUAACAAUAAUGCCAUAGUUAUGUGAUAUUGCAAUCCAUGCAUAACAAUCAAAACUUUUUCGUUCCAUCUCCAAAUCAUAUACCUUCCUGACAAGGGUAGUUUUGCCUAGUCCACCAAAACCCCACACUGAUAUUACUACAAGAUUGGUUUCCUUGGGAUCUAGCCAUUCGCGCAGCAGUUCCAUGUCUUCCUUCAUGCCAACAAUGCCCUCUACUUUAAUGGCAUGAGGGUUCUCACUAUUUGUUGGGGAUUGAACUUGAGUGUUGUUACUUGUGUUAUCAAGUAACUCAUUGAACAUUUCUCUGUAGUCUCUUUUGAGCUGUGACAGGUGUUUGAUCUCUUCCUCAAUGUCUUUCAUUCCUGAAGCAAUGCCGUGAAAAAUAUUUGCAUAGUAGGUUGUGUGUACCACCCUCUUGAAAUAGCCUUCUUCCUGUAAGAGAGUGAUGUUAUAACAGUAGUCAUCUAUUAUGUCCUCAACACAAUAUGCAACCUUCCGCACCCUCACUAUCCAGCCUUCAAGAACUUUAUUGCUGUAGAUUUUUGACCCAACUUGGCUUAAGAAAUGAUGAAUCAUGUCCAAUUCCCUCUCGAUGCGUUUUGCAGUCCGUGUUAAAUCUGGCGAUGGUGUGGCUUCUUUCUUUACGAGAGACUGCAGUGAUGCCAUUCCAAAAGAGGUAACAAGUUUGCUAAGAGCUAGGACUACUGCUGCCUCUGCCAUAUUUUGUCUUCUUCACUAAUGAUGUGGUCUUUUGGAUAUGCUAGUUUACUCAACCAGAUUUCACCUUCAUUUAUGUUCUUCACUGAUCCUGUCGAAUACAAUAUAAAUUUCAGCUUUUGAGUGCAUUAGUGACCGACUAUCCAUAUUGAAUGUAUGUUAUCACUUAUUCCAACUUACCCCCAGCUAGAUAUCCAUAUUGAAUGUAUUUUAUCACUUAUUCUAACUUACCCCACGCCAUAUGUAAUAUAUCAUAAGCUUGUUAGAUGAACUUUAGAUCUUCAGGUGAAGGAAGGACACUAAAUUGUGUCUAUUAUAAAUUCACAUAGCAUGCUACAUAAUGAUAUGCAUGCGAUACAUAACUUAACAUGUGAGUUGCCAUCAACAUUAGGAGAUAUAGAAUAAUUUUAACUUGUUAAACAUGGUAGUGUUUGUAAAUCUUGUAGGAGUAAAGCUCUACUCUGGAAUAAUUCAGGGUCAUGUUUAGUUCCAUUCAAAAUGCAGAAUUUAUUGCCCUCAUGAGGGCCUCAUGAGGCUCUUUUGGGUUUUUUUGGCCUCUUGAGGCCAAAAUCCAAAAUGGAGAAUAACUACCUUUUUGCCAAAAAAAAUUGCAUGGUGUUUAGUUCCAUUUUGCAAAAUAAUGAACCAAAACCUAAUUUUUUUUUGGAAUAUGAAGGGAACUAAACACCCACUAUGUUUACUGCAAAGUUUUGUUUUCGCAUAAGUAACUUGAUGCUACAACUAUAUCAAAGCAAGGUACCUGGUGAUAGCAUUUCAGUUAUAUAAUGCCUUAGCUGCUUUUAUUUUGUAUUUAUCGAUGAUGAUAUCUUCAAUGCAUUUGCAAAAGCGAAGGCAGAUGAACUAAAAUCAUGUUGUAUGCCUCACACACAGAUUGAGAUGUUCCCCGCGACCACGAAAUAAAUAGACAAGGAACACAACUGAAUCCUGCAUACAUCUUGAAUGAGAUUGCGCACCUUACGUGAUGGAAGAUCCCGAAGGGAAGAGCACAGAGCUAAAGACGAAAUUCAGUGGCGUGUUGUGAAUUUUCGAGUUCAGUACUGGACCCAUGAAGAAAUAUAUACAAGCAUCAGGUAUUCAAGUCAAGGCAUCCUUCUAUGCGUUGGAGGUUCGGAACAGAAGAAAAAAAAACGUGUUACGUGUUUACAGAUACAGAAUGAUCGAACCAACAUAGACUCAGUCAAUCAGGACCGUUUGGAAACUUUGAACGGUUAUUUAUUCCUUCCGUCGUGACGUUUGGGCAGGAAACACGAGGUCUAAGGUCAAAUUUGCGUGUUCUGUAGGACACGGCGACGUCUGAAAAGAGGCCUUUCCAUCAAGGGGGUGAGUCACGACCAGAUUUUGCAUAAAUCAUUUUUGGAAGAGAUGGUUGAUUAGCAACGAUUGAAGAAAAAAAAAAUGAAAUUGAGUUAGGGCUCGUUCGGUUAGAAUGGAACAGUAUGGGCUGAGCCUUUACAGGUGCCACCGAACCAACAACUUAGCAACAUCGUGUUCGUCCUCUCAAAACAACAGAUUCUUAAAUCACUUUAUUCUUGCCCACUGCGAAUUCCAUUCUUUGCAAGAAUCUGCCAAACACACGCAAGUAGGUAACUUUGAUUAGCUAAAUGGUCCCUCCCGGCAGAUAUAAAAGUCUCCAUGUUAAAGUUAGACCCUGAGACAUUCUUGCUUCAAAGCUAUUCAGAUGCAGG